UACGUAGGGUCCGAGCGUUGUCCGGAAUUAUUGGGCGUAAAGGGCUCGUAGGCGGUCUGUUGCGUCGGGAGUGAAAUCUUACAGCUUAACUGUGAACUUGCUUUCGAUACGGGCAGACUUGAGGCAUUCAGGGGAGAACGGAAUUCCUGGUGUAGCGGUGAAAUGCGCAGAUAUCAGGAGGAACACCGGUGGUCGAAGGCGGGUCUCUGGGCCGAUACUGACGCUGAGGAGCGAAAGCGUGGGGAGCGAACAGG
RNAcentral lists this ribosomal RNA (254 nucleotides) under uncultured bacterium. RNAcentral describes it as "partial 16S ribosomal RNA". It matches the Rfam family "Bacterial small subunit ribosomal RNA", at positions 524 to 776 of the family's 1533-position model. The record is from RNAcentral.